GACGCAGGGGGCUAGCGUUGCUCGGAAUCACUGGGCGUAAAGCGCACGUAGGCGGCUUCUUAAGUCAGGGGUGAAAUCCUGGAGCUCAACUCCAGAACUGCCUUUGAUACUGGGAAGCUUCGAGUCCGGAAGAGGUGAGUGGAACUGCGAGUGUAGAGGUGAAAUUCGUAGAUAUUCGCAAGAACACCAGUGGCGAAGGCGGCUCACUGGUCCGGUACUGACGCUGAGGUGCGAAAGCGUGGGGAGCAAACAGG
Molecule: ribosomal RNA, 254 nt
Filed under: uncultured bacterium
Lineage: Bacteria
Description: partial 16S ribosomal RNA
Rfam family: Bacterial small subunit ribosomal RNA
Source: RNAcentral